Long non-coding RNA from Acanthochromis polyacanthus (spiny chromis), 943 nucleotides. RefSeq lists it as uncharacterized. Lineage: Eukaryota; Metazoa; Chordata; Actinopteri; Pomacentridae. The transcript has 2 exons. The record is from RefSeq and is a predicted model, not a curated record.
UCCAGGCAGGAGUGGGGAAUCCAGGCAGGAGUGGGGAAUCCAGGCAGGAGUGGGGUUCCCGGACAGCUGGCUGCGUGAAGGCAGGAGAAAAACAAGGUCAGAAUUAAGCAGAAACUCAAACAGAAAACGUCAAAGGCAAGAGAGCAAACCGAACUGCAUGGUUUCAGGUUCAAUACUCUGGCAGGGAGUGGAAGGCUGAGCCGGUACUUAUUGUAGAGGUGAGUCGUUAGUGAGAUGAUAGUCAGCUGUCUGGGAGCCGUGGAGGUAGUUGAUUGCCUGAGUGGAGUCAGCUGAGAAGCUAGACUCCACUCAGGCACCGAGCUGCGGGAGGAGAGUCAGGGCAGAGAAGCGGAUGGGAGACAACUAGACAGACAGACAGGGCAGAGGAACGGAACUGUGACAAUCAAAAAAAAUUCUGCAUGGGAUAUAAUUACAAACAACGUUAAUGCCAUUUCAAUUGAAAGGCGCACCACUGCAGAAGUUAAGAAAAAGUGGUUUGAUCUAAAAUCAGACUCAAAAAAGAAAAUUGCAGAACACCAGAGGGAUGUCCAGGAAACUGGUGGAGGUGGGCCAUCAACUCGUGCUGACGUUUCAGAGGUGGAUGAAAGAAUAGUAGCAUCAUCAGGGAAACUGCUGUCAGUGGAGUCCCAGGCACGCAGGCUCUGGAUACAGAUGUCGACUUCUCCUUCAUCAUAUCUGAAUCUGAGGACGAACUGGUCGAACAAACAGGCCAGCACCCCACCACAAGCAAAAACUCUGACCCAGGCUCCGUCCUAUGCACGUGCGUCUUUGCGUCACUCCAGGGUCAUCUCAGACACUGUAUUAGAAAAUCAAGAGCGUAUUGCAAACUCACUUGCUCAAAUUGCAUCAACUCUUAAAAAUAUUUCAGCUACACUUCGACAGAUACACACAGUCAUAAUGGAAAAAUAAAUGCUAAAACAAU